This 202-nucleotide long non-coding RNA is filed under the name Elaeis guineensis (African oil palm). RNAcentral's name for it is "long non-coding RNA (EGUI_LNC056249)". Lineage: Eukaryota; Viridiplantae; Streptophyta; Magnoliopsida; Arecales; Arecaceae. The record is from RNAcentral.
UGUAAAAUAUAUUUAAAGCUUUAUUUGCUCAUUAAAGGAGCUACAUUUAUAUUUUUAUAUGAUUAACUGUUAUACUCUAUUUUUGAGUUGAUCUUUAGUUUUAGAAGGCUUCCAAAAUGUGGAAAGAUUGAUCCGAACCUUGAAUUAGAUUGUAUUGGGUUGGCUUGUAUCUGAAAAAUAAGUGUUCUAGCUUGGAAUAGCU